UGGAGAGUUUGAUCCUGGCUCAGAACGAACGCUGGCGGCAUGCCUAACACAUGCAAGUCGAACGAGAUCUUCGGAUCUAGUGGCGCACGGGUGCGUAACGCGUGGGAAUCUGCCUUGGGGUUCGGAAUAACUCCCCGAAAGGGGUGCUAAUACCGGAUGAUGUCGAAAGACCAAAGAUUUAUCGCCCUGAGAUGAGCCCGCGUAGGAUUAGCUAGUUGGUGUGGUAAAGGCGCACCAAGGCGACGAUCCUUAGCUGGUCUGAGAGGAUGAUCAGCCACACUGGGACUGAGACACGGCCCAGACUCCUACGGGAGGCAGCAGUGGGGAAUAUUGGACAAUGGGCGAAAGCCUGAUCCAGCAAUGCCGCGUGAGUGAUGAAGGCCUUAGGGUUGUAAAGCUCUUUUACCCGGGAAGAUAAUGACUGUACCGGGAGAAUAAGCCCCGGCUAACUCCGUGCCAGCAGCCGCGGUA
RNAcentral lists this ribosomal RNA (471 nucleotides) under Sphingomonas sp. A62-24. RNAcentral describes it as "bacterial SSU rRNA". It matches the Rfam family "Bacterial small subunit ribosomal RNA", at positions 1 to 522 of the family's 1533-position model. Lineage: Bacteria; Pseudomonadati; Pseudomonadota; Alphaproteobacteria; Sphingomonadales; Sphingomonadaceae. The record is from RNAcentral.